UUACCAAUCAGCCUGGCUCCCAGGUGCCUUUUUCCAGCUCAGAAGGGGGAAAUUACUCUGCAGAACAGGAGCCAUUUACUCAGCACCAAAGCAUGCCACCCAUUUCUUGCCCACUUCAGCUUCCCAAAGCAACAGUCCCUGGAUCAACUGUGUUGUUUACUGCCAAUCAAAUGACACCAGAAGAUCAAGAUUUGAGCCCAGCCCACCAGUCUCAGGCAAAGUGCAAGCCACCAUACGAGGAGGUCCCCAACACAAAUGCUGCUGGUUUUGCUGAAGACAGCAAGAACUGACUCACGCUUCUCCUAAGAAGGCAGCAUGGGGGCAAAGGAGAGAAAAGAAAACUGUCUUUACUCAGAAUCUCUUGUUUAUUUAAUCUGCUGGAAAUAAAAAAAUUAUUUAUACUUUGUAAGUUAUAUAUACGUACCUUGAAAAUAAGAAGAGGUAAAAUAACAUAUUAGACAAUAAGUUCCAUUGUUGUUGCUAAUGUUGUUCUUAUUUGAUGUUUAUGUAUUAAGUGUAUAAUUGCUUGCUGAGGAAAGCAGCAGCAACUUUUCAAUGCAGAGUCGAAGGCUUUCAUGGCCGGUGUUUAUUUUAGCCAAUAAACUGAGCUCAAUCCUUUA
Long non-coding RNA from Sceloporus undulatus (fence lizard), 620 nucleotides. RefSeq lists it as uncharacterized. The transcript is spliced from 2 exons. The record is from RefSeq and is a predicted model, not a curated record. Lineage: Eukaryota; Metazoa; Chordata; Lepidosauria; Squamata; Phrynosomatidae.